UUCUCCUUACAUUUGAUUUGAUCCUAAAGGUGCUCGGAUGUAUUGUCCUAGUGCCAAACAAACCCCCGGCGCGAGAAGCGCCAAGGAAUACUCUAACAAGGGCUGGAUCCGUCCUCUCCCGUUCGCGGGGCCAGGGGAUCGGGGAAAGCUUCUUUCUAAACUAAAACGACUCUCGGCAACGGAUAUCUCGGCUCUCGCAUCGAUGAAGAACGUAGCGAAAUGCGAUACUUGGUGUGAAUUGCAGAAUCCCGUGAACCAUCGAGUCUUUGAACGCAAGUUGCGCCUGAAGCCAUUAGGCUAAGGGCACGCCUGCCUGGGCGUCACGCAUCGCGUCACCCCUCCCCCAAUUUCGGUGGAUGGGGUGGAAUGUGACCUCCUGUGCCUACGGGUGCAGUUGGUCGAAAUCUGAGUCCGGAGCUUAGGACGUCACGGCAAGUGGUGGUUGGAUAACAACUCUCGUGUUGUCGUGUGCCCAAACUCUCGCGACUGUAGAGACCCUAAGGCGCGUGUUGCCUCCCCUUUGCGGGGUUGAUGACUCGUGCUACGACCGCACCCCAGUCAG
RNAcentral lists this ribosomal RNA (562 nucleotides) under Thyrocarpus sampsonii. RNAcentral's name for it is "eukaryotic LSU rRNA". The stretch from base 168 to 323 matches the Rfam family "5.8S ribosomal RNA". The record is from RNAcentral. Lineage: Eukaryota; Viridiplantae; Streptophyta; Magnoliopsida; Boraginales; Boraginaceae.